GACGAGAUGUCCGCCCCUGCUAGACAGGCCCUCCGGACCACCAAAUAUACGAUGCAACGGACCAAGCGACAACACCCCGCGACAUUGUCGCCUGGUUUGGAAGGAUUGUGUUACUCAGAUAAUGAAGCAGUCGUUGAAAGAGAUGAAACUCGAAUAUAUUUUUGAAAUGCAUUCGUUUUCCACCGACCUAGAAGACGAAUCUGUGCAUCGGACAAACCUUUCUCAGCAGCGAAAGAUGCUGCACCGAUUCGAA
This is a non-coding RNA of Paramuricea clavata, 253 nucleotides long. NCBI's taxonomy places the organism in Eukaryota, Metazoa, Cnidaria, Anthozoa, Malacalcyonacea, Plexauridae. The record is from the annotation of a GenBank genome assembly.